Molecule: transfer RNA, 73 nt
Filed under: Bos taurus (domestic cattle)
Lineage: Eukaryota; Metazoa; Chordata; Mammalia; Artiodactyla; Bovidae
Also listed under: 1 other name
Rfam family: tRNA
About the family: Transfer RNA (tRNA) molecules are approximately 80 nucleotides in length. Their secondary structure includes four short double-helical elements and three loops (D, anti-codon, and T loops). Further hydrogen bonds mediate the characteristic L-shaped molecular structure. tRNAs have two regions of fundamental functional importance: the anti-codon, which is responsible for specific mRNA codon recognition, and the 3' end, to which the tRNAs corresponding amino acid is attached (by aminoacyl-tRNA synthetases). tRNAs cope with the degeneracy of the genetic code in two manners: having more than one tRNA (with a specific anti-codon) for a particular amino acid; and 'wobble' base-pairing, i.e. permitting non-standard base-pairing at the 3rd anti-codon position.
Source: Rfam by way of RNAcentral
UCCUUGGUGGUCCAGUGGUUAGGAUACCACGCUUUCAUUGCCGAGGGCCCAGGUUCGAUCCCUGGUUGGGGAA